CUCACCACAAGUGUAGCUACCAUCUGUCACCAUACAAUGCUAUUACAAUAUCAUUGACUGUAUCUCCUGUGCUGUGCCUUUUAUUCCCAUGACUUAUCAAUUUCAUAACUAGUUGGAAAUUGAAGAAUGCAAUGGAAAGCAACAAGAAAAAGGCAAGGAGUCAGAGACAUCCCUGCCACGCGGCACAGAGAUUUAUAACUCUGAGCAAAGGUUUCAACAAAUACUAUUUCUUUACUCCAAAGUCCAUCUAUGUGUGCUUCCUGAAAUAAAGAACAGAGCAUUUCUGUCUUCUGGUCUCUAAUCCCAGGAGCCUUAGCAGCAGAGGCUGGGGGAGUUCCAAAAGGUCUUCUUAUAAGUCUGGAGAUAAUGACUGGCUCAAACAAGCUGGCGCCGUGUGGGGACACCCAUAGACUUUAUUUAUCUCUCUCUGUCUCUUUUUUUUUUUCAGGCUGACAUAGUGUCUGCACUGACAUACCCAGUCCAGAAAAAAGAAACUGUGUCUGUUAUAACUUUUACUUAAGUGGUGUAAGUGGAAAGAUGAUAAUGCAAAGAUUUGUUGAAAACACACUUCUUAUCCAGACAAUCCAUUGUAAUGUUUCAAUUAAAAAGUUCUACUCACAGAGAUUUAAAAAAAAAAAAAAGAAGAAGGACAAGAUCUGGGAUUGUUUAACGACCUGGAACAUGCAAAGAACAUAAUAGAAUUUCUGAUUCGGUAUCUGGGAUGUGGGUAUAUGAUUUGAGAUAUAAAUGAGACCCGUCGAUGGCUAUUAUUACCCUGCCCCCACCACAUCCCCUCCCAUGAAGAUAGGCAACAGGGAAGGUGCUUAAAUUCUUUCAGGGCCUAUGGUUGUCACUGAGCAAUUUACUUCUUUGGUAUCUCACAUACAGAUGGCUGGUAUAACACACAAAGCUCACCUGGGUGCCAGACUGGGGAAGUGUAGUUCAAGUAUCUCCAAUCCAUGUGACAAUGUUAUCUGAAAAACAUGUGACUUGAAGCCAGUGUAAUGACACUAAACCCACUCUAGUGCACAUUUUUGUAUAAGGCAUCCAUUUUGGAGCCCAGACCCAAUGCUAGUAGAACUCAGUAUUACAUUACAGUCUGAUUUAGCACAAGGUCUGGUGGCAGAGUCCAGGUAUGGUAAUCUUGGAAUUACCUAAUCUGGGAAGGAGCCAACUGGCCUAUGGAAUACCUGAAAAUGAAACACUGUCUACCAGAGAUGGGGAAGUAUAUCCACCUUCGAAACUGUUAAGACACUCUUGAAAACUGAAAACCACACAAAUGCCAACAAUGUCUUGGUUCCUGUGAAGUUCACUGUCUAGUAAUAAAAGGAGAUAAAAAAUACCCAUCUUAAAUAAUUUAAGUGGUAUACUAAGGGUAUAUCCAGGGCACUGUCAGAACACAGAAGAGGGACAACACUUACCCAGCCAGACAAUGAGGACCAGGGAAGGUUGCCACUAUAUCUAGUUAUAAGAAGUUCGGAGUACAGUUAAUGCAUCUUGUCUUGAAGGUGACACUUGUCCUCCAAAUAACUCAGACUCUUCCCAGAACCAUUCCAAAGGACUUAGCUCUUCCCAUAAAUGCUCUAUGUAUUUAUUCAUCUCCAUCCUCAGUGAAUGGAAGAAAGGUCAGAAAUGUGUCACUGCUUUGUAACCUAAGGUCUUCUGCCUUGUCUACUGAAUGAGUUACUGAAUUAAUAUUCCUCCCUACACAAAUUUUUCUUUAAAAAGUCUGUCCUUUCCUGCUUUGCAGUCUGAGCCCCUACUUCUCUGUACAUAAUUCUUCACAGAUCUCUAUCUAACCACUUAGACAAACUGUUUAACUUCAUUUGACAUUAUUUUUUCUGGAAGAGUAAAGCAAAAUUGCCUUAGAUAGAUUUUUUUUGGUUUUACAUCAUGAAAAAUUUUACCCCACUUGCUAUUUGCUGUUUUCCUUUUCCCAUCUUCUGCAUUCUUCCAGGAGGCCUCCUGAAUAGUCCAUGCUUAAGCUAAAGAAGACUGACAGUUAUUUUCAGUACCAAGUCUCACCUAAUAACGAAAAACCUAGGCACAUUUUCAUUUCCUGUAAAGUUAGCUGAGUCAGGUGAGGUGAAAAAUCAGAGAACGGGCUCUAUCUGGGGCUUCUGGGAAAACUCAAGGCCCUAAAAGUGAAUGUUCUCUUCUAAUUGCCUGACAGAGCUAUUUAACAUCCAUGACUUAGCGUUUUACAUCCUGGACAGGGUCUGACCAGCCUGACUUAACGACAAAGUUAGUUUUGAAAACCUCUUAUUCAUUUGUCUUUUCUCAUUGGCAAUGUCCAUGAGUCCAUUAUUCCUACGGACUAGAGAGGAACUCAGGAAUUACAAGGAUGGGCCCUUUUGGUUAGUGGCUGGCUAGGAUUUUGUAGUGUAUCCUCUGAAUGCAUUCACUGUCCUACAGUGGGUCUCAGGGUGUGGAAUGAUUUGUUAUUGAGUAAGGGCCAUGCUUAAAGUUUUCCAGCCCGCGUUUGGAUGCAAUGCAGGGUCACUUCAAUUACCUUGGAAAUGAGAGUGCUGGUAACCAGUGUAGAGACUAUUUUGGAAUAAGAUAAUAACAUCUAAAGCCACUUCCAGUUUGAUAAUAAAUAUCAUGUACUGAUUGAUACGAUGGUGCAGAUUUUCUUGUUAGAUCUGCUUAUGGAGUGAAUUACACCAACAGAGGUUUUAACAACAUUGUUGAAAUACAAUUCCCAUACCAUGCAAUUCACCCAAUUAAAGUGUAUAAUUCAAUAGAUUUAGUAUAAUCACAGAAUUGUAUAGUCAUCACCACAAUCUAAUUUUAAAAAUUUUUCAUCACACCAAAAAGAAACCCCAUAAUCAUUAGCUAUAACCAACCAAUGUCCUCAUUUCACGCCAGCCCUAGAUAACUGCUAAACUACUUUCUGUAUCUAUAGAUUCGUCUGUUACAGACAUUUCAUAUAAGUGGAAUCAUAUAGUAUGUGGUCUUCUGUGACUGGCUUAUUUAAUUUAGCAUAAUGUUUUUAAGGUUCAUCCUGUUGUAGAAUAUAUCAGGGCUUCAUUCCUUGUUAUUGCCAGAUAAUAUUCCAUUGAUGCAUAUACAUUUGUUUAUUCAUUCAUCGUUUGUUAGACAUUUGGAUUGUUUCCACUUUUUGGCCAUUAUGAAUAAUGCAGCUAGGCAGUGUUGUUUACAAAAGCCAAUACAUGAAAACAAUCUGACUGCUCAUGGACAGAUGAAUGGGUAAUGAAGAUGUGGUAAAUCUACAAUGUAAUCUUAUUCAGCCAUAAAAAAGGAAAUCCUGUCAUUUGCAACAACAUGGAUGAACCAAGGACAUUAUGCUAAGUAAAAUAAGUCAGACAGAGAAAAAUAAAUACUGUAUGAUCUCAGAUACAUGUGGAAUCUGAAAAAGCAAAAAACAAACUCAUAGGAAAAGGAAAGAUUUGUUGGUUACCAGAGGUGGAAGGGGGAUUGAAAGAAGGUCAAAAGGUACAAACUUCCAGUUAUAAGAUAAGUAAGUACUAGGGAUGUAAUGUACAACAUGAUGACUAUCAUUAACACUAAUGUAUAGUAUAUAUGGAAGUGGUUAAGAGAAUAAAUGCUAAGAGUUCCCAUCACAAGGAAAACACUUUUUUCUUUCUCAUGUUCUUUUUUUUUUGUGAUUAUAUGAGACAAUGAAUGUUAACUAAGCUUAUAAUGGUAACCAUUUAACCACAUAUGUAAGUCAAAUCAUUGUACUCUAUACCUUAAACUUAUACAGUUCUGUAUGUCAGUUAUAUCUCAAUAAAACUGGA
Neofelis nebulosa (Clouded leopard) is the source of this 3764-nucleotide long non-coding RNA. RefSeq lists it as uncharacterized. The record is from RefSeq and is a predicted model, not a curated record. NCBI's taxonomy places the organism in Eukaryota, Metazoa, Chordata, Mammalia, Carnivora, Felidae. The transcript is spliced from 3 exons.